GCUAUUUUCUGUGGAACAUAGUAGCCUUUUUCAGCAUCUCUUGGAGCAGACAAGGUAAGGCUCACCCUUAUGCCCUCCCAAGGGUGCCCUCAUCCUGAUUCCAUUGGCUAUAGAGUCCAGAACUCCUGUUAGGCUUAAAUAUCAUAACUCUACCAUGAUGGACAGGAUGAGCUACAUCCCAGCAAAUAAAAGUUGUGCUAAUAAAGAAACACUUAAGGGCCCAGGCAGAUGUAAUAAGUGACUUGGAAGGGCAUGAACGUCACAAUGAGAAGCUGCCUAGGAUUCUGUGAGGAUUACUAUGGCUUCUUGAAGCUCCACUUUGGUGGACUUUUUAUUCAUUUGGAUUGCAUUUACUUGGCUGUACCAUAGAGAAUGUUGUUCUAUGGAGAGUACAAAAUUUAUAAUAUUAAUGUUGCGUAAUCGUGUUAUCUGCCAUUACAUAGCUGUUUAAGAUGAUGAAAGCUAUCUCAGCCUGCACAU
RNAcentral lists this long non-coding RNA (480 nucleotides) under Bos taurus (domestic cattle). RNAcentral describes it as "long non-coding RNA NONBTAT019012". The record is from RNAcentral. Lineage: Eukaryota; Metazoa; Chordata; Mammalia; Artiodactyla; Bovidae.